GUCUCGGUGGCUCAGCUGUAAGAGCGGCGGGCUGGUAUCCCGUAUUCGCGAGUUUGAGUCUCGCCCGAGACU
Cydia amplana is the source of this 72-nucleotide non-coding RNA. The record is from the annotation of a RefSeq genome assembly. Lineage: Eukaryota; Metazoa; Arthropoda; Insecta; Lepidoptera; Tortricidae.